This is a non-coding RNA of Beta vulgaris subsp. vulgaris (sugar beet), 124 nucleotides long. The record is from Rfam. Lineage: Eukaryota; Viridiplantae; Streptophyta; Magnoliopsida; Caryophyllales; Amaranthaceae.
AGGCAGCCCCCUAGCAAAAAAAAGUUGAUAAGGGAGGUGUUAUUCUACUCGUAGAUUGACUCUUUAGCUCUUCAGAACUGCUGAUAUUUAGGAUGAAGCAGUUCUAGUAACGCUGAAGUACAUU